RNAcentral lists this ribosomal RNA (491 nucleotides) under uncultured bacterium. RNAcentral's name for it is "partial 16S ribosomal RNA". It matches the Rfam family "Bacterial small subunit ribosomal RNA", at positions 29 to 506 of the family's 1533-position model. The record is from RNAcentral.
AGUGAACGCUGGCGGUAGGCCUAACACAUGCCAGUCGAACGGCAGCACAGUAAGAGCUUGCUCUUACGGGUGGCGAGUGGCGGACGGGUGAGGAAUACAUCGGAAUCUACUUUUUCGUGGGGGAUAACGUAGGGAAACUUACGCUAAUACCGCAUACGACCUACGGGUGAAAGCAGGGGAUCUUCGGACCUUGCGCGAUUGAAUGAGCCGAUGUCGGAUUAGCUAGUUGGCGGGGUAAAGGCCCACCAAGGCGACGAUCCGUAGCUGGUCUGAGAGGAUGAUCAGCCACACGGGAACUGAGACACGGUCCAGACUCCUACGGGGGGCAGCAGGGGGGAAUAUUGGACAAUGGGCGCAAGCCUGAUCCAGCCAUACCGCGUGGGUGAAGAAGGCCUUCGGGUUGUAAAGCCCUUUUGUUGGGAAAGAAAAGCAGCAGGUUAAUACCCCGCUGUUCUGACGGUACCCAAAGAAUAAGCACCGGCUAACUUCGU